RNAcentral lists this ribosomal RNA (522 nucleotides) under uncultured Glomeromycotina. Its description in RNAcentral is "SSU rRNA". It matches the Rfam family "Eukaryotic small subunit ribosomal RNA", at positions 569 to 1092 of the family's 1831-position model. Lineage: Eukaryota; Fungi; Glomeromycota. The record is from RNAcentral.
AGCAGCCGCGGUAAUUCCAGCUCCAAUAGCGUAUAUUAAAGUUGUUGCAGUUAAAAAGCUCGUAGUUGAAUUUCGGGAUCAGUACGCCGGUCGUGCCUUCGGUAUGCACUGGUGUCACUGGUUUCUCCCUUCUGAAGAACCAUCAUGCCAUUAAGUUGGUGUGGCGGGGAAUCAGGACUGUUACUUUGAAAAAAUUAGAGUGUUUAAAGCAGGCUCGCGCUUGAAUACAUUAGCAUGGAAUAAUGAAAUAGGACGUUUGACCCUAUUUUGUUGGUUUCUAGGAUCGACGUAAUGAUUAAUAGGGAUAGUUGGGGGCAUUAGUAUUCAAUUGUCAGAGGUGAAAUUCUUGGAUUUAUUGAAGACUAACUACUGCGAAAGCAUUUGCCAAGGAUGUUUUCAUUAAUCAAGAACGAAAGUUAGGGGAUCGAAGACGAUCAGAUACCGUCGUAGUCUUAACCAUAAACUAUGCCGACUAGGGAUCGGAUGAUGUUAAUUUUUUAAUGACUCAUUCGGCGCCUUACG